Molecule: long non-coding RNA, 1237 nt
Filed under: Oreochromis niloticus (Nile tilapia)
Lineage: Eukaryota; Metazoa; Chordata; Actinopteri; Cichliformes; Cichlidae
Description: lncRNA (ENSONIG00000027495.1)
Source: RNAcentral
GGCAUCUUGCUCCACUAAUCCUAUAAAAUUGUUGCAGGAUAAAGUUUUGGUAGGAAGUAAUGCUGUGGUAACUAGUUACAGUCUGCACUGCCACUUGUAGCAGCCAGUAGUUCUAGUACGGCAUUAACUGUUCUCUGUCUUAAUGCAUUUUCGUGUUGAUUUCUUUGUGUCAAAGACUGCUUCUUGUGGGGUCUAGCUGAGGACUUUAAGACUAGGUGUUCUGAGCCUCAUUCUAGAACCCAUGUGCUCUUCAGCCAGCAGAGUCCAAAGAUACAUUAAUCCUCUCUGAUACUGUUAAUUCGAAGACUGCGCUUUGUGUGACCGAUCCAGCUGCUUCUGAGACUAAGACUGGUGAUGGUCUUGUAAACAGUGUUUUCAUGGGCAAUUGCAUGGAAAAUGUUUGUGUUGAGGCCAAGCUGGGCUCCUGUAGGACUGAGACAUGAGCCAGGUCAGAUCCAGAGGACUCAGUUUGCUCUGGAUCCCCGGAGGUGCUCAUUUCAGCUCCCACUGGGGGUUCAGGAGAGCCCGACCAGCUUUUUCCUGUGUCAGCUGGGGGUUCAGUAGAGUCCAGCCAACAGCUUCCUGUUGGACUUUUUGUGCUCCUGUUUUUUUUCUUUGUAAUGUCUUUGUCCAAGUCUCCCCUGUCCGUUUCUUCAGGCAUGUCUCGCUCCCUUUCUCAAGCUGGUGUUGUCACAGUUUAUGACUUGCUAUGUUUCCUGUUGUAUUUUGACAGUCCUGCGUUCCAUGUUCAAUAUGUUUGGUUUUGCUUCCCCUGUGGCGUCAUGUUCAUUUGUGUCAGCUGUGUUUCCUGUUUGUUUCCACUUCCCACACUACACAUCUGUGUAUUUAAGUCCUCUGUCUCCCAUUGUUCUUUGUCAGGUCAUCUGUUUUCCUCUCCUCAUGUUCCUGGAAUUUAUGUUUUCUCCAGUCUCGGUUUUCUCAGGUUCAUGUUUAUGUUUAACGUUCAUAUUCAGAGUUUUUCCAUGUCUAGCUUUAGUUUUCCUAGUUCAGGUUAUAGUUUAGUUUUCGCCUUCGCCAUUUGUUUUGGUGUUUUUCUAUCAGCCAGAAUAAACAUCUUGUUUUUUAUUUAAGUUCAGUUCUGUCCCUUGUGAUUCUCCUUGUGUGUUUGUUCGCUCCGCAAACACACCGGCCAUUCGUCCGUAACAUUUUGAGCAGUUCCACACAUUUUGCUGUCCUCACUAAAGUUUGUUCCAGGCAACAUAAUUUCAGCUAUACA